RNA transcript from Neltuma alba, 3472 nucleotides. It is a transcript of the gene named SCY1-like protein 2, with no coding region annotated. The record is from RefSeq and is a predicted model, not a curated record. The transcript is spliced from 15 exons. Lineage: Eukaryota; Viridiplantae; Streptophyta; Magnoliopsida; Fabales; Fabaceae.
GGCUAAUAGACCUGAAACACGGAGAAGGAGAGAGAGAAAGAGCGGACGGAGAGAGAAAGGGUAAGAUGUCAUGCUCUGUCUGAUCUCUCACAAUUCCAAAUCGCCGGUCUUCUCCUCCUCCUUCUCCUUCCUCUCCUUCUUCUUCUUCUACUUCAGAAUCCUUCACUCUGUGGUCAAUCCUCAAAGAUGUCUCUGAACAUGAAAACCCUAACGCAAGCCUUGGCUAAGACCGCGGCGGUCAUCGAGAAGAAGGUUCAGACCACCGUGCAGGAGGUCACCGGACCCAAGGCUCUCCAGGACUACGACCUUCUUGAUCAGAUCGCGUCCGCUGGGCCUGGUCUCGCAUGGAGGCUUUACUCGGCUAGGCCCAGGGAACCAUCGCGGCAGCAACAGUACCCCCUUGUUUGUGUUUGGAUCCUGGACAAGCGGGUGCUGUCGGAGGCGCGAAUGCGUGCUGGGCUGACCAAGGCAGCUGAAGAUUCGUUUUUGGAUUUGAUUCGGGCCGAUGCGGGUAAACUGGUGCGAUUGAGGCAUCCCGGGGUAGUGCAUGUAGUGCAAGCGUUGGAUGAGAGCAAGAAUGCUAUGGCGAUGGUGACUGAACCCUUGUUUGCAUCGGUGGCUAAUACUCUUGGGAACCUGGAGAAUGUUGCGAAUGUUCCUAAGGAGCUCAGGGGAAUGGACAUGGGACUGUUGGAAGUGAAGCAUGGCUUACUUCAGGUAGCAGAAUCACUGGACUUCUUGCACAACCAUGCCCAUCUUAUUCAUCGCGCGAUAUCACCUGAGAAUAUUCUUAUCACUUCAAGUGGAGCUUGGAAACUUGGCGGAUUUGGUUUUGCAGUUUCAGCAGCUCAGGCCUCUGGUGACUCGACUAAUCUGCAAGCUUUCCAUUAUGCUGAAUAUGAUGUCGAGGACUCUAUUCUUCCACUACAGCCAUCACUUAAUUACACCGCUCCUGAGCUGGUUAAAAGCACUGUGUCAUCAGCUGGGUGGGCUUCUGAUAUUUUCAGUUUUGGUUGCGUUGCUUACCAUUUAAUUGCUCGCAGGCCUUUGUUUGACUGCCACAACAAUGUGAAGAUGUACAUGAAUACUCUGACUUACUUAUCCAGUGACACAUUCUCAUCUAUUCCACCGGAGUUGGUUCCUGACUUGCAGAGGAUGCUAUCUUCAAACGAGUCUUCAAGACCAACUGCAACGGCUUUUACUGGGUCCCCCUUUUUUCGGAAUGACACUAGGUUGCGUGCUCUGCGCUUCCUUGACCAUAUGCUUGAAAGAGAUAACAUGCAGAAGACAGAAUUCUUAAAAGCUUUGUCAGACAUGUGGAAAGAUUUUGACAGCCGUGUAUUGCGGUACAAGGUCCUUCCGCCUCUCUGUGCUGAGCUUAGGAAUGUGGUGAUGCAGCCAAUGAUUCUUCCUAUGGUUCUAACUAUUGCGGAGUCUCAGGAUAAAAGUGAUUUUGAGAUUACAACUCUUCCAGCACUUGUUCCUGUCUUGAGUGCUGCAGCUGGUGAGACAUUGUUGCUGCUUGUGAAGCAUGCAGAGCUUUUAAUAAACAAGACUAGUCAGGAUCAUUUAGUUUCACAUGUUCUGCCAAUGGUUGUUCGGGCUUUCGAUGAGAAUGAUGCUCGUGUUCAAGAAGAGGUUCUGAAGAAAUCUGUAUCCCUUGCUAAGCAACUUGAUACCCAGCUGGUCAAACAAGUGGUUUUGCCUCGUGUUCAUGGUUUAGCGCUUAAAACGACAAUUGCUGCGGUUAGAGUCAAUGCCUUGCUGUGCUUAGGAGACAUGGUUAUCCGACUUGAUAAACCUGCUGUCCUAGACAUCUUGCAGACUAUUCAGCGCUGUACUGCUGUUGACCGUUCUCCUCCUACCCUUAUGUGUACACUUGGGGUUGCAAAUGCUAUUUAUAAGCGGUAUGGAGUAGAGUUUGUUGCUGAGCAUGUGCUUCCUUUGGUUAUACCCCUCCUGACAACUCAACAACUGAAUGUUCAGCAGUUUGCCAAAUAUAUGCUCUUUGUGAAGGAUAUGCUAAGGAUGAUAGAGGAGAAGCGAGGAGUGGUUGUGACACAGUCUGGAAUCCCUGAGGUCACCAAACCAUUUCCUCCAAUUAAUGGUCUUCACAAUGAAGCCACUGCUAAAACAAACAGCACUGUUGCUUCAACCAAGAGCAGCUCUUCUUGGGAUGAAGAUUGGGGUGGCACUAUGAAAGGGAGCACCACUUCUUCCCAAAGUUUUACUGACAAAUCAAGUCAACCUGUGCCAGGAAUCCCAAUGGGUCAAAUAACAUCCUCACAGCAACAUUCAUCCUCAUCUGCUGUGUCUAAUCAGCAGGCUACAAUUUCAUGCCCCUCAGUCGAUAUAGAGUGGCCUCCUCGUGCUUCUGCUGCUGGUAACCAAUAUUUAGGUGAUUCUGAGAGUCACAUGAAGACAACAGGAACGUCUUCUACGUCUACUCUUGAUGACAUUGAUCCUUUCGCUAAUUGGCCUCCACGUCCUAGCAGCUCACUAGGUGGACCUGGAAGUUCCAACAAUGGUGCUUCAGGACCUCCACUAGACAAAAAUGGACCUAGUUUAAUGUCAAACGCUUCAAACGCUAGGAAUAAUCAAACUACCAAUAGUUGGUCUUUUAAAACCCCAAGUUCAGAAGAUCCAAUUGGUUUGAGCCUUGGUAAUUCCAGUUCAACCACUGGUAGUCUGCAUGGUGGUAUAAAAUCGCAGAACUCUCUUGCGUACUUAAAGCAGAGUCAGGGAUUUCCAGCAUCCAAUGUUCCACAGACAGAGAACAAGUCCACAGAUCUUGGAUCCAUCUUUGCUUCUGAUCAGAAUGACCUGAUUGCACCUAAGCUUGCACCACCGCCCUCAACUGCCGUGGGCAGAGGUAGAGGAAGAGGAAGAGGAAGAGGGAGGGGAGCUGGUUCAAGCAUGAGGUCCGCUCAUCCCAAGUCUGAGGAGCCACCCCUUAUGGAUUUGUUGGGAUAGCUUGCUUCUGUGGCCAAUUUAGAGUAUCAGGGCAAUGAACACGGUUGAGAUUGUGUUAUAUUUUGUGAUUGCCUUUCAAUGCUGGACACUUGGAACAUGUUCGCACUGGCACCGCAAAAGAUCAUGCAAGGCAAAGGAGGUGAUAACCUCGUUCUGUAAAGGUAUAUGAUGGGUGAGGAUUACUUUAUCAGUUACUGCUAUCAUUUCCCUUGCAAAUUUACAAAGUAUGAGUACAUCACUAACAUUACUUGUGGAUUAUUUUCAAUAAGGUAAAUUGAUUCACAAAAAAUGGCAAUGAUUAUUAUAAGUUAGUUUGAGCUGUAAAAUUAUGUACGAAGUCUUUUUGGAUUUUUGGGCAAAAAUGUAAGAAGCCCCGCGGGUGAGUGUAGUAUUAGGAUGAGUUAUUGGUUCAUAUAUGUAAUGAGUUCAAAACUUAAAAUAUCGUCAUAAUUGCAUUAUAACAAAACAGGUUAUAGCCUUUGAUGUUCAUUGACGGUAA